GUCCGAGGUUUGGUGACUCUGAAUAAUUUCGCUGACCGCACGGUCUCGAACCGGCGGCGCAUCUUUCAAAUGUCUGCCUUAUCAACUUUCGAUGGUAGUUUAUGCGCCUACCAUGGUUGUAACGGGUAACGGAGAAUAAGGGUUCGACUCCGGAGAGGGAGCCUGAGAAACGGCUACCACAUCCAAGGAAGGCAGCAGGCACGCAAAUUACCCACUCCCGGUACGGGGAGGUAGUGACGAAAAAUAACGAGACGGUUCUCUACGAGAUUCCGUCAUCGGAAUGGGUACAAUUUAAAUCCUUUAACGAGGAUCUAUUGGAGGGCAAGUCUGGUGCCAGCAGCCGCGGUAAUUCCAGCUCCAAAAGCGUAUAUUAAAGUUGUUGCGGUUAAAAAGCUCGUAGUUGGAUCUGCGUCUUAGGCUAGCGGUCCCCCAGCGGGUGGUUACUGCUAUGCCUGGACUAAUUUAUCUGGUUUUCCCUUGGUGCUCUUUACUGAGUGCUUUGGGUGGCUGGAAGGUUUACUUUGAAAAAAUUAGAGUGCUUAAAGCAGGCAGUUAGCCUGAAUAGUGGUGCAUGGAAUAAUGGAAUAGGACUUCGGUUCUAUUUUGUUGGUUUUCGGAACUCGAGGUAAUGAUUAAGAGGGUCAGACGGGGGCAUUCGUA
This 660-nucleotide ribosomal RNA is filed under the name Cephalanticoma sp. NN025. Its description in RNAcentral is "SSU rRNA". It matches the Rfam family "Eukaryotic small subunit ribosomal RNA", at positions 234 to 896 of the family's 1831-position model. The record is from RNAcentral. Lineage: Eukaryota; Metazoa; Nematoda; Enoplea; Enoplida; Anticomidae.